GGGAGAGAGGAAAGUCCGGGCUCCAAAGGGCAGGGCGCUGGAGAAAUUCCAGUGGGCGUGAGCCCAAGGAAAGUGCCACAGAAACAUACCGCCCGCUUUUGGCGGGUAAGGGUGAAAAGGUGGGGUAAGAGCCCACCAGCUGUCGGGUGACCGACAGGCUAGGCAAACCCCGCCCGGAGCAAGACCGAAUAGGAGGGGAUGAGGCUGCCCGUUGACCCUCGGGUACGGUCGCUUGAGAGCCGGCGCAAGCCGGUUCCUAGAUAAAUGACCGCUUCACACAGAACCCGGCUUAAGGAAUGCUUCCCGCA
This 308-nucleotide RNase P RNA is filed under the name Thermovirgaceae bacterium. RNAcentral's name for it is "partial RNase P RNA component class A". It matches the Rfam family "Bacterial RNase P class A". From Rfam's summary of the family: Ribonuclease P (RNase P) is a ubiquitous endoribonuclease, found in archaea, bacteria and eukarya as well as chloroplasts and mitochondria. Its best characterised activity is the generation of mature 5'-ends of tRNAs by cleaving the 5'-leader elements of precursor-tRNAs. The record is from RNAcentral. Lineage: Bacteria; Thermotogati; Synergistota; Synergistia; Synergistales; Thermovirgaceae.